This 1505-nucleotide long non-coding RNA is filed under the name Panax ginseng (ginseng). Its description in RNAcentral is "long non-coding RNA (PGIN_LNC008467)". The record is from RNAcentral. Lineage: Eukaryota; Viridiplantae; Streptophyta; Magnoliopsida; Apiales; Araliaceae.
UUUGAUAAAACUGAGUGUUAAGACCUGAACAGUUUAGACGUCUGAAUAAUAUAGAGCAUAUGAAUAGAAUUGUGUCUGAAUGAAAAAAUAUUGUUUGAUAAUUAAUUUUUUCAAAAUGUCUGAAUAACGGUAUUUUACCAUUUUAACCAUCUGAACAGUUUAAACAAAACAUGUUUGAUAAUCAGAAGGUCUCAAUAAUAUUUUAAAUACAUAUUUAUAAUAUUUUGACCAUAAUAUGAUAAAAUAAAAAUAAAAAACGUACAAAUUAAAUUAACUUCAAACAUAGUAUCAUGUCCCAAAAAUAUCAACAUAGCAUAAUAAUUCAACCAUACAAAUUAAAAAACCCAACUAAUUAACAUGUUUGGUUAGGCGGCAAACAAAAGAAAAGACUAGCAAUAUACUAAUUUACUGAAUAAUUUUUUUUAAGAAAGAGUAUAGAAUAUUACCCAGUGAUUGAACAAAAAAACCCAACUAAUUAACAUGUUGAAUCUGAAUAGUAUAGUUGUGGUCGUCCUCAUUUGUCUUAGCUCUGUUCGGAUAUGUUGUUCUUCAUCUGUUAAAAGAGAAAAACAGAACAAAUUGGAUGGAAAUUUGAGAUUCGACAAAAAUGGGGAAUUUAGGAUACUGCAAGGGCGGAUAUGCACUAAGCCAACGGCAAGGGAACAGAUUGCGAAGAUGUUUUUCCGCAACAGAUGCCUUCUUGCUCCGAUCUCAACACCACUGUCUUUUUCCGCAACAGAUGCCUUCUUCCUGGUCGGAGUCGGCGAGGGAGGAGAUGUGAGGGACAAUAAAGGAAUUUGGUUGCCUUUGUAUAAUUUAGACUUAGGUUAACGUCUGACCGAAAAGGAGGAAGAAAAAAUCAUACAGAGGCAUCAAAAAAUUUGUCAAACAAAAUUAUCCUCUUACCGAAAAAGAAACUACGCUGGACAGAGACUUUCAGACGUAAACAAACGCCACCUUAAUGGCUCACGUUCUUCUCCAAGGCCCAAGAUGUAAGGUGUGAAUGGUUUUGGGAUUUAGAGAGAAAUAAACAAUUCGUUCCACUACUAUUCCUCUGAAAUUGGGAUGGGCUGGACAGUCUUUAUAUUCCAUAUUCUAUACAACUUGACGAAUUUAAGGCCCCAAUAGUUUGCCUAAUUCGGAACAACAUAAAUUCGAAAUAUAACAGAUAUUUAAAAAACAUACAAACUGAAUACAAUGCACUGAAUAUAUUAUAUACAAUGAAGCUGUGCUUACACUUUAAGCAUACUAUUCUAUCCAUUCUAAAAUUUGACAUAUAUCUUUUUUCUAUUUUUAAAAAUAAUUUUAUUUUCUCAAAUAUACUCCCAAAAUUAGUUAAAAUUUUAGUAGCAGAUAUUAAAAGUCAUAUUAAAAAUUAACAAAUUAAGAACCAAGAACGAAACCCUAGAAUCGACACCCAAUUUCUUCUCCAAAUCGAAAUUGAAUGAAGAAUCUCCACUUCGAAGUGGUAAAUCUUUUCUUUCUUUUUUAUCCAUGCUCUGGGU